Magnolia sinica is the source of this 259-nucleotide long non-coding RNA. RefSeq lists it as uncharacterized. The record is from RefSeq and is a predicted model, not a curated record. NCBI's taxonomy places the organism in Eukaryota, Viridiplantae, Streptophyta, Magnoliopsida, Magnoliales, Magnoliaceae. The transcript is spliced from 3 exons.
UUCAGAAGAGGAGUAAAAUAAAUUCUGACAAUAGAGGAAUGUUAGAAGUGAACCACGUAGCUGGUUCAAAGUCAUUUGUACGACUUCGUCACGACAUGCGAGAUUCCGUCACUGGCCAGGAGCCCGGACCAGUAAACUUCUACAAAGGGACUCACUGUCGGCAGUCGACAGGAUCUUGGGUACAUCAUAGAGCCAGCGAGAUUUGGGAGGAGAUGAACACCUUACGCAGUCAGCCCACUCCCGAUGGUACUCAGCGGAU